UGGGGAAUUUUGGACAAUGGGCGAAAGCCUGAUCCAGCAAUGCCGCGUGUGUGAAGAAGGCCUUCGGGUUGUAAAGCACUUUUGUCCGGAAAGAAAUCCUUGGCUCUAAUACAGUCGGGGGAUGACGGUACCGGAAGAAUAAGCACCGGCUAACUACGUGCCAGCAGCCGCGGUAAUACGUAGGGUGCAAGCGUUAAUCGGAAUUACUGGGCGUAAAGCGUGCGCAGGCGGUUUGCUAAGACCGAUGUGAAAUCCCCGGGCUCAACCUGGGAACUGCAUUGGUGACUGGCAGGCUAGAGUAUGGCAGAGGGGGGUAGAAUUCCACGUGUAGCAGUGAAAUGCGUAGAGAUGUGGAGGAAUACCGAUGGCGAAGGCAGCCCCCUGGGCCAAUACUGACGCUCAUGCACGAAAGCGUGGGGAGCAAACAGGAUUAGAUACCCUGGUAGUCCA
This 450-nucleotide ribosomal RNA is filed under the name uncultured bacterium. RNAcentral's name for it is "partial 16S ribosomal RNA". It matches the Rfam family "Bacterial small subunit ribosomal RNA", at positions 355 to 797 of the family's 1533-position model. The record is from RNAcentral.